UACGGGGGGAGCAAGCGUUGUUCGGAUUUACUGGGCGUAAAGGGCGCGUAGGCGGCCAGCGCAAGUCAGUUGUGAAAUCUCCGGGCUUAACUCGGAAAGGUCAACUGAUACUGCGCGGCUAGAGUGCAGAAGGGGCAACUGGAAUUCUCGGUGUAGCGGUGAAAUGCGUAGAUAUCGAGAGGAACACCUGCGGCGAAGGCGGGUUGCUGGGCUGACACUGACGCUGAGGCGCGAAAGCUAGGGGAGCGAACGGG
This 254-nucleotide ribosomal RNA is filed under the name uncultured bacterium. RNAcentral's name for it is "partial 16S ribosomal RNA". It matches the Rfam family "Bacterial small subunit ribosomal RNA", at positions 524 to 776 of the family's 1533-position model. The record is from RNAcentral.